Molecule: long non-coding RNA, 4794 nt
Organism: Equus caballus (horse)
Lineage: Eukaryota; Metazoa; Chordata; Mammalia; Perissodactyla; Equidae
Source: Ensembl
GCUGCCCGCCACACCUGGGUCCUUAGUGCCCUGCCUGGGCUCCCCAGGGAGGAUGCCAGACUUAGUCUUGGCCUUGGCCUGAGGGAUGCCUGCGGUGAAGGGGGCAUUCCACAGUUGCCUGGGUUUCCCUGAGAGAGUCAGAGAUCCCUGGGUGGUGGCCUUAUGGAACGGGCCACCUCUGGCCAAGUCUGGGGGAGGGAGCCGCCUCAAGGUCGAGAUGGGUGGUGGCCAGCAUCAUCGUCUCCAGGAGCGGCCCUCGGGGAUCUUCCGCACGGAUUUUGUCAUGCCCCGCCUUCCCCGUCGGAUGCUAUCCUCCUGCACCCAGAUCCAGGUUGGAGGCCACGGAUGACGCCUGGAAACUGCCUUUCAGCACCCUGUCUGGCCUUCCCUGCGCCUUGCAGGGCAGCGGUGGGAGAAAAACCUGUAGGGACGGCUGGACAUUGGCUUCGUCGGCUGCCACCUGGGCAUCCAGAAUCUUGGGGACCUGAGGAGAGGAGGGCAGGUAGCUGCUUUCCUCCUUGGAAGAGGUUUUCUGGCCCUGUUUGCUCCCAACUGACCCAGAAGGGCAGCAAGACUCUCCCUGUGUCAGCUGGUUCAUCCCCAUCCUCACUUAUUGCUGGAAAAAACACAGCCUCUCAUCACAAAUGAACCUUUCUUCCCCAGGAGUUGGGAAAGCUGUGUCAAGUCAGAAGGCUGAGAAAGGCUUGCCAAAGGAGUGUGGCAGCACAGGCAUGCCACCCAGGGAACGAAGGGGAAACCCACAGGCAUGCUCUUCCAUCAGCGGUUCCCAUCCUCCACUCUGGACUGAGGAAAGCCCGCAUUCCUUCCGCCUAGGGUGCUCCCCUUGGGAGAUACCUGACAAGAAGGGCUGAGAGAAGCCCUCUCCUGGCCCUCUCCCUGAGUCCACCGAGGAGGGGCGGAGGGAGACCACCCUAGGGCUUGCCUGAUAUACCCAAAGGAGGCUGACUGUCCCACUUAUUUGGGCCAAGACUCUGUCAGUGGGGCAAGGACAGAGGAAAGGGCCCUGAGUCCUGAAGGUUUUCUGGGAGGUGUCAUUGGCCCUGCUGGGGGAGGGAGCCCCUGGGUGUGUCAUGUGCCCGACAUGGGAGGUAGUGCCUGCUUCAUCUGGGUCCUUGCUAGCCAUGCCCUGUGUCCCAAGGGAGGUUGAUUGUCUUGGCAGUGGUGGGGAGAGGGAUCUUCAUACCUCACAGAGACCUCCCCUAAUCUAAGAGAUGCCCUCUGAACUCAGAGAGACCUCUCCUGACCUCACAGAGCCCUCGCCUGACCUCAGAGACACCCCAUCUGACCUCACCUGGAUCUCCCCUGACUUCACAAAGAAACCCUCUCACCUCACAGAGACCUACCAAGACCUCACAGAGACCCCCUUCUGUCCUCAAAGGGCCCUCCUAUGACCUCAAAGAGACCUACUCUGAUGUCACAUCCUCCGCUGACCUCAUAGAGACCCCCUCUGACCUCACAGAGACAUCCCCCUGACCUCACAGAGAUGUCCAACAUCACAGACACCCCAUCUGAUCUCAUAGAGAUGUCAAGUGACCUCAGAGACCACCUCUGACUACAGUGACCCCUUCUCUGACCUCAAAGAGAACCCCGGUGAUGACACAGAAACAUCCCCUGACAUCAUAGAUUCCUCCCCUGAACUCAAAGACCUCCCUGACCCCAGAGACAUCCCUGAUCUCAUAGAGACCUCCUGUGACCACACAGAGAACUCCUCUGAAAUCACAAAGACUUCCUCUGACAUCAAAGAGACAUUAGCUGACCUCAGAGACCUACUGUGACCUCACAGGGACCUCCCCUGACUUCACAGAGACCCCAUUUGGCCUCACAGAGACCUCCUCUGUUCUCAAAGAGAUGCCAUCUGACCUCACAAACUCAUCCUCUGGUUUCAUAAAGACACACCCUGACCUCAAAGAGACCCCACAGAGACUUCCUCUGACAUCACAGGAACCACCUUUGACAUCACAAAGUCCUUCCUGACCUCACAGUGACCCCCUCUAACCAGAGACCCCCCUGACCUCACAGAGACCUCCUUGAUCUCACAGAGGCCUGCUCUGACCACACAGAGACCUCCCCUGACCUCACAGAGAGCACUCUGACUUCACUGAGGCCUCCUCUGACCUUGCAGAUAGCCCCUCUGACCAUACACAUACCUCCCUUGCCCUGAUGAUGACCCACUCUGACACACGGAGACAUCCCCUGAUCUCACAGAGACCUCCAUGACCUUGCUGAGACCCCAUCUCACAUCAAGAGACCUCCCUAACCUCACAGAGACCAACUGUGCCCUCACAAAGACCUCCCGUGACUUCACUGAGAAACCCUUUGACCUCACAGAGACCUCCCCACAACUCACAGAGAUUCCCUCAGAUGACACAGAGACCUCACAUCACCUCACAGUGAUGUCCUCUGGGCUAGCAGAGACCUCCUGCGAACUCAGAUAGACCACUUUGACCUCAGAGAGAGCUCCCCUGACCUAAAAGAGAACUCCCUGACCUAAAAGACCUCCCCUGACUGCACAGAUACCUCCCCUGAGCUCACAGAGACCUCCCUGACCUCAGAGACCUCAGUGGCAUCAGAGACCUCCACUGAACUCAGAGACAUCAAGUGAGCACAAAGAGACCUCUCUGAUCACAAAGACACCUCCCUGACCUCAAAGACACCUCCCUGACAUCAAAGAGACCUGUGUGAGGUCACAGAGACAUCCAGUGAUGUCACAGAGACCACUCUGACCUCACAGAGACCUCAUGUGACCUCACAGAGACCUCCAGUGACCUCAAAGAGACCAUCUUUAUCCUCAAAGAGACCUCUCCAACCUCACAGAGACAUUCUCUGAACACACAGAGACCUCCCUGCCCUCUGAGACAUUCUCUGAUCUCACAGAAACCUCCCCUGACCUGGAAUAGACCUCCCCUGUCUCACAGAGACCUUGCCUGACAUCACAGAUGCCUCCCUGUCUUUGAGGACCUCUCCUGACCUCAGAAAGACACCCUCUGACCUCACAGAGACCUUCCCUGACCCAUAGAGACCCACUUUUAUCUCAUAGAGACGUCCCCUGAUGUCACAUAGACCUCCCCUGAACUCACAGAGGCCUGCCUGAACUCACAGAGAUCUCCUUGAUCUCAGAGACCUCCCAUGACCUCACAGAUACCCACUCUGACCUCACAGAGAGCUGAUCUUGCCACACAGAACUUGGUCUGACUUCACAGAGACCUCCCCUGACAUCACAACAUGCUCUCUGAUCUCACUGUGACAAGAUCUAAUCUCACAGAGACCUCUGACCUCACAGAGACCUCCUUGAAAUCACAGAGGUCUCUCCUGACCUCACAGAGACGUCUCUGCCAUCUGAGAAACACCCAGAUCUCACAGAAAUCUCCCCAGACAUCAGAUAGGCCUCCCUUCUCUCACAGAGACCUUGCCUACCAUCAGAGACAUAUCUCUGUCCUCACAGACCUACCCUGACCUGAGAGACAGCCCCUCUGACCUCACAGAGAUAUCCCUUACUUCACAGAGACAUCCUUGACUUCACAGAGACCUCUCCUACCUCACAGAGACUUUACUUGACUUCAUAGACACACUAUCUGGCCACAAAGAGACCUCCCCCUAACUCACAGAAAGCCCCUCUGACCUCAUUGAGACCUCCCCUGGCCUCACAGAUACACACUCUGAUGUCACAGAGACCUCCCCUGCCCUCACAAAGACAACUUCUGAAACACAGAGACCUCCCAAGACCUCACCGAGAACUCCCAUGACCCCACAGAAACCACCUCUGACCCCACAGAGUACUCCCUGACCUCACAGAAGCCACAGCUGACAUCAAGAGACCUCUCUGACCUCAGAGAGACAACCCUGACCUCAGAGAGACAUCCCCUUACAUCACAGAGACCUACCCUGAUCUCACAGAAACCUCCCCUUAUAUCAUAGAUAUCUCCUCUGACCUCACAGAGAAUUCCUCUGACAACACACAGACCUCCGCUGACCUCGGAGACCUCACAUCCCCUCGCAGAAGCCUCCCUUGAACUCAGAGAACUCCCUUGAUUUCAGAGAUCUCCCUGACCUGACAGAGACCUCCCAUGAAGACACAGAGAACUGUGGGGGACUGGAAUUGGCCACCCCAAGAUACGUCUCUUUAGCAUGAGGAUUAUUUUGGGCUGGUUAAUUUUAAAAACUGCAGACAUGGGGGCUGGCCCAGUGGCCAAGUGGUUGAGUUUGCGCGCUCCUCUUCAUUGGCCCAGGGUUUUGCUAGUUUGAGUCCUGGGUGUGGACAUGGCACCGCUCAUCAAGCCAUGCUGAGGCAGCAUCCCACGUGCCACAACUGGAAGGACCAACAACUAAGAAUACACAGCUGUGUAGAGGGGUGCUUUGGGGAGAAAAAGGAAAAAUAAAAAAAAAUUUAAAAAUCUUUCAAAAAACUGCAGACAUGAGAGAAACUCUGAAAAGUAGAAUUUACUUACCCUCUGUUAAGAGAUAUUUACAUUUGUAAAGGAAAUCUCCAUCUGUAAAGAUAUCUCCCUUUCUGUACCAGGAAGAAGGGGGAUGACCUUAUCUCUAGAAACUCUUAUCAAUGCAAAAGGCAAGGACUUAUAUCUGUAUAUAACCUUACUCUUGUUUACUGUGCUUUUCUGAUAAUCUCCCGUAACUGACUCCCUCCACCCCUAACAUCCUCCUUUGUCUUUAGCUGAAGAUGGUAUUUAAGGUGAUGGUUUCAGCCAUUUUGGGGAGUUACUCAGUUUUUCCAGGUCUCUCCCAUGUAUACAUGUUAUAAAGCUUUAAUUUUCUCCU